AAGUCGUAACAAGGUUUCCGUAGGUGAACCUGCGGAAGGAUCAUUACUAUAUAUAUAUUUAAUAAUUUUUCUAUUUUAGUUUAUUUAUUAAUAUUUAUUUUAAAGUAAAUGUUUGUAAAUAAAUAUAUAGAAAAAUUUAUUAAAUCAUAUAAUUCUAUUUUAAUUGGUUACUUUUUCUAUGUUGAUUUCAUUAGAUAAAAUAAAAUAAAAAAAUAUUAUACUAUACUAUACUAUAUACUAUACUAUGAAUUCUAUUUUAUUUAAUUAAUGGAAAAGCACUUUUUAACUUUAUUAAAUUAGAAAAUUCAGGAAACUAAAUUUUUUUUUAAAAAGAAAACUUUCAACAACGGAUCUCUUGGCUCUU
RNAcentral lists this unclassified non-coding RNA (364 nucleotides) under fungal sp. RNAcentral describes it as "partial internal transcribed spacer region". The stretch from base 1 to 46 matches the Rfam family "Eukaryotic small subunit ribosomal RNA", at positions 1786 to 1831 of the family's 1831-position model. The record is from RNAcentral. RNAcentral also lists the same sequence under 1 other name. Lineage: Eukaryota; Fungi.